Molecule: long non-coding RNA, 292 nt
Filed under: Panax ginseng (ginseng)
Lineage: Eukaryota; Viridiplantae; Streptophyta; Magnoliopsida; Apiales; Araliaceae
Description: long non-coding RNA (PGIN_LNC008182)
Source: RNAcentral
CCGCCUCUGGUACACCUGCGGCCCAGCCGCAGGUACACCUGCGGCACAUAUUGCCUAUAAAUAGAGGGCUUGGGGUGCUGAUUUUUAAGAGAAAAAAGACGGGGAAACCCUGUACAAUUUGCUCUGCACUUGUCGUACAGUGUAUUUUCCCACUUUCAAACACCUGUGAGCUCAUAUAUAGCCUCUUUUGUACCCACAAAAGCCCAGUGUUUAACCACUCUAAAGAUAUAGAAGCCCUUUUUAUCAGUCAGCUGUAAGCCUUCUCACACACUUUAGAGUUUUUCUCUUCAUC